GAAGAAGAGGAAAUCAGAAAGAUAACAUGACUUACUCAUGAUCACACAGUCACUGGGAUUGGAUCUUAGGUUUUCUAAGUCCAAGACUGGCACUUUGCAACUGAAAUACUUUUGGGAGGGUCAGCUUCAUAAGAGCAAAGAACAUGGCUUGUUAUUUCUGGGCUUUCCUUGGCUUGUAACUAGGAAGAGGGAGAAGGCCAAGUUGAAAUUUUCCUUGUGCUGAACUAAGUAAAACAUCAGCCAAAAUUCCAGCUAACAGUUUUUUCAAGGCAUAACUUCUGAACCAGAGUCUAAACAAAGUGAGUUAUGUUUUAUCCUCCUCUUUCUCCCUCAGGUCUUAUCACCUUUGAUCCUCCUUUAUUUCUUUACCUUGGGUACAUCUUUUUUUAAAAUAUUUAUUUCCCCCUUCUCCCGUUCUUCUCUCAAAACUCCUUUGAUAGCUUAUAAUGGAGCAGAAUGGGUAAGAGGUGGGAGGUGGGGGGAGAUGAAGUGCAGAAGACCUUUUACCUCUUCCCAAUAAAUAUGUAGAUUUCUGAGGGUGAUGCAUGUAUAACAUACCUUUACAAUUUAG
RNAcentral lists this long non-coding RNA (571 nucleotides) under Rhinopithecus bieti (black snub-nosed monkey). Its description in RNAcentral is "lncRNA (ENSRBIG00000045647.1)". Lineage: Eukaryota; Metazoa; Chordata; Mammalia; Primates; Cercopithecidae. The record is from RNAcentral.